CCUUCCGUUAGGGAACCUGCGGAAGGAUCAUUAUUGAAAUAAACCUGAUGAGUUGUUGCUGGUUCUCUAGAGAGCAUUGUGCACGCUUGUCAUCUUUAUGUCUCCACCUGUGCACAUUUUGUAGACCUGGAUCACUCUCUGAAAUGCUAACCAGCAUUUCAGGUUGGAGGAAUUUGACUUUGUUGUCUUUCCUUGCAUUUCUAGGUCUAUGUUCUUUUUCAUAUAAUCUUAUUGUGAUAUAAUGGACCCUAUAUAAUANAAACCUAUACAACUUUCAGCAACGGAUCUCUUGGCUCUCGCAUCGAUGAAGAACGCAGCGAAAUGCGAUAAGUAAUGUGAAUUGCAGAAUUCAGUGAAUCAUCGAAUCUUUGAACGCACCUUGCGCUCCUUGGUAUUCCGAGGAGCAUGCCUGUUUGAGUGUCAUUAAUAUAUCAACCUCUUUAAAUUUUGAGAGUGUUUGGAUGUGGGGGGUGUUAUUUUGCUGGCUUUCUCCAAGGUCAGCUCCCCUGAAAUGUAUUAGCGGAACAAUUUGUUGACCGUUCAUUGGUGUGAUAGCAUAUCUACGCUAUUGACGUGAAGCAAGUUCAGCUUAUAACAGUCCAUUGACUUGGACAAUUCUCUAUUUAUUAAUGUGACCUCAAAUCAGGUAGGACUACCCGCUGAACUUAA
Molecule: ribosomal RNA, 669 nt
Filed under: Cortinarius favrei
Lineage: Eukaryota; Fungi; Basidiomycota; Agaricomycetes; Agaricales; Cortinariaceae
Description: eukaryotic LSU rRNA
Rfam family: 5.8S ribosomal RNA (bases 270-423)
Source: RNAcentral